This 497-nucleotide ribosomal RNA is filed under the name uncultured bacterium. RNAcentral's name for it is "partial 16S ribosomal RNA". It matches the Rfam family "Bacterial small subunit ribosomal RNA", at positions 28 to 507 of the family's 1533-position model. The record is from RNAcentral.
GAUGAACGCUGGCGGCGUGCCUAAUACAUGCAAGUCGAGCGAACGGACGAGAAGCUUGCUUUUCUGAUGUUAGCGGCGGACGGGUGAGUAACACGUGGAUAACCUACCUAUAAGACUGGGAUAACUUCGGGAAACCGGAGCUAAUACCGGAUAAUAUUUUGAACCGCAUGGUUCAAAAGUGAAAGACGGUCUUGCUGUCACUUAUAGAUGGAUCCGCGCUGCAUUAGCUAGUUGGUAAGGUAACGGCAUACCAAGGCAACGAUGCAUAGCCGACCUGAAAGGGAGGUGGGCCACACUGGAACUGAGCCACGGACCAGACUCAAACGGGAGGCAGCAGUAGGGAAUGUUCCGCAAUGGGCGAAAGCCUGACGGAGUAAAGCCGGGUGAGUGAAGAAGGUCGUCGGAUCGUAAAACUCUGUUAUUAGGGAAGAAAAAAUAUGUAAGAAACUGUGCACAUCUUGACGGUACCUAAUCAGAAAGCCACGGCUAACUACGUG